This 253-nucleotide ribosomal RNA is filed under the name uncultured bacterium. RNAcentral's name for it is "partial 16S ribosomal RNA". It matches the Rfam family "Bacterial small subunit ribosomal RNA", at positions 524 to 776 of the family's 1533-position model. The record is from RNAcentral.
UACGAAGGGGGCUAGCGUUGCUCGGAAUCACUGGGCGUAAAGGGUGCGUAGGCGGGUCUUUAAGUCAGGGGUGAAAUCCUGGGGCUCAACUCCAGAACUGCCUUUGAUACUGAGGAUCUUGAGUUCGGGAGAGGUGAGUGGAACUGCGAGUGUAGAGGUGAAAUUCGUAGAUAUCUGGAGGAACACCGGUGGCGAAGGCGGCAUCCUGGACCGGUAUUGACGCUGAGGCGCGAAAGCCAGGGGAGCAAACGGG